Molecule: ribosomal RNA, 254 nt
Filed under: uncultured bacterium
Lineage: Bacteria
Description: partial 16S ribosomal RNA
Rfam family: Bacterial small subunit ribosomal RNA
Source: RNAcentral
CACGUAGGGCGCAAGCGUUUGUCCGGAAUUAUUGGGCGUAAAGAGCUCGUAGGUGGUUUGUUACGUCUGCUGUGAAAACCUAGGGCUUAACCCUGGGCUUGCAGUGGAUACGGGCAGACUAGAGGUAGGUAGGGGAGAAUGGAAUUCCUGGUGUAGCGGUGAAAUGCGCAGAUAUCAGGAGGAACACCGGUGGCGAAGGCGGUUCUCUGGGCCUUACCUGACACUGAGGAGCGAAAGCGUGGGGAGCGAACAGG